RNAcentral lists this ribosomal RNA (569 nucleotides) under uncultured bacterium. RNAcentral's name for it is "bacterial SSU rRNA". It matches the Rfam family "Bacterial small subunit ribosomal RNA", at positions 224 to 783 of the family's 1533-position model. The record is from RNAcentral.
GAUGAGCCCGCGGCCCAUUAGCUAGUUGGCAGGGUAACGGCCUACCAAGGCGAUGAUGGGUAGCUGGUCUGAGAGGACGAUCAGCCACACUGGAACUGAGACACGGUCCAGACUCCUACGGGAGGCAGCAGUGGGGAAUAUUGCGCAAUGGGCGAAAGCCUGACGCAGCAACGCCGCGUGGGGGAUGAAGGUUCUCGGAUUGUAAACCCCUUUCGACCGGAACGAAUCCCCUCCUGGUAAACAAUCAGGAGGAUCGACGGUACCGGGAGAAGAAGCCACGGCUAACUCUGUGCCAGCAGCCGCGGUAAGACAGAGGUGGCGAGCGUUGUUCGGAUUUAUUGGGCGUAAAGCGAACGCAGGCGGUUUGGUAAGUCAGAGGUGAAAGACCACAGCUUAACUGCGGCAACUGCCUUUGAUACUGCCUUUCUAGAGUGCAUGAGGGGGAAGCGGAAUUCCGAGUGUAGAGGUGAAAUUCGUAGAUAUUCGGAGGAACACCGGUGGCGAAGGCGGCUUCCUGGCAUGUAACUGACACUCAUGUGCGAAAGCGUGGGGAGCAAACAGGAUUAGAU